This 317-nucleotide unclassified non-coding RNA is filed under the name fungal sp. Its description in RNAcentral is "partial internal transcribed spacer region". The stretch from base 1 to 46 matches the Rfam family "Eukaryotic small subunit ribosomal RNA", at positions 1786 to 1831 of the family's 1831-position model. Lineage: Eukaryota; Fungi. The record is from RNAcentral.
AAGUCGUAACAAGGUUUCCGUAGGUGAACCUGCGGAAGGAUCAUUAACACAAAGCUUGCGCGCUAAUUGGCACUUCACCGUGUCUUUGGUGUCGCAUCUUUACACCCCCCUUUUUGCAAACGUGUUUUUUUUAUUAUACUGUUUUCAGUAUGCCGCCAAUUAGGGUUCGUCCUUUCUUUGGUGGUAUUACUCAACAACAACAUAUCUAUUAAACCCCUUGAAUUUUUUUAGACUGACAUCUGAACAUGUAUUUAUUUAUAUGUUCUGCCAUUAUAUCAAACGCUGAACAACUCUUAGCAACGGAUAUCUUGGCUCUC